UCGUUGAAUAUGAAGUGGACAUGACCACUGCGGUUGUCAGGCACACCGCAGUGCAAAACUUUAACCCAGAGAAUGUCGUGGAUUUCGAUCCAAUUGUCCUCUACGACGUGUGGUGGAACGGCGAUGCGACAGAGUGCUGCACAUGGCUGAAACUGAAGAAAUGGUGCUGCACACGUCGAAAAGGCUCAGAAAGCUGUCCUUAGAAAAGGGCAAGAGCACCAAAGGAAUUAUAACUGCCAUGGCCUCUAUGGCACCUUUGUCACAGGAGCAUGCUGACAUGGACAUAUUCACUGGAGAGGCCAUCGAUGUUGUCAUCGGAUCCUCAAGAGAUGACGGAAAGGUGUAUGCUGGAUCCGGGCAAUGAAUAGAAAAGGCUGCUAGGGGGACAUUGUUGCGGUCUACGUCUGACUAUGUUCUGCCA
This is a long non-coding RNA of Dermacentor silvarum, 421 nucleotides long. RefSeq lists it as uncharacterized. The record is from RefSeq and is a predicted model, not a curated record. The transcript has 5 exons. NCBI's taxonomy places the organism in Eukaryota, Metazoa, Arthropoda, Arachnida, Ixodida, Ixodidae.